AUACGUGGGGUGCGAGCGUUGUCCGGAAUUACUGGGCGUAAAGAGCUCGUAGGUGGUUUGUCGCGUCGUCUGUGAAAUUCCGAGGCUUAACUCCGGGCGUGCAGGCGAUACGGGCAUAACUUGAGUACUGUAGGGGAGACUGGAAUUCCUGGUGUAGCGGUGAAAUGCGCAGAUAUCAGGAGGAACACCGGUGGCGAAGGCGGGUCUCUGGGCAGUAACUGACGCUGAGGAGCGAAAGCAUGGGUAGCGAACAGGAUUAGAUACCCUGGUAGUCCAUGCCGUAAACGGUGGGCGCUAGGUGUAGGGGUCUUCCACGACUUCUGUGCCGUAGCUAACGCAUUAAGCGCCCCGCCUGGGGAGUACGGCCGCAAGGCUAAAACUCAAAUGAAUUGACGGGG
This 398-nucleotide ribosomal RNA is filed under the name uncultured bacterium. Its description in RNAcentral is "partial 16S ribosomal RNA". It matches the Rfam family "Bacterial small subunit ribosomal RNA", at positions 523 to 918 of the family's 1533-position model. The record is from RNAcentral.